Molecule: signal recognition particle RNA, 98 nt
Filed under: bacterium
Lineage: Bacteria
Description: signal recognition particle sRNA small type
Rfam family: Bacterial small signal recognition particle RNA
About the family: The signal recognition particle (SRP) is a universally conserved ribonucleoprotein involved in the co-translational targeting of proteins to membranes. Archaeal SRP consists of a 7S RNA and homologues of the eukaryotic SRP19 and SRP54 proteins.
Source: RNAcentral
UAUUAACACUUAUGGCGGCGUAAAAUUUCGAACCGUGUCAGGGGGGAAACUCAGCAGCACUAAGAAAACCUUUACGGGUGUCAUAUUUGUUAAAGUAG